Cyanistes caeruleus (blue tit) is the source of this 1563-nucleotide non-coding RNA. NCBI's taxonomy places the organism in Eukaryota, Metazoa, Chordata, Aves, Passeriformes, Paridae. The record is from RefSeq and is a predicted model, not a curated record.
CAUAAAGGCUCGUUCUGCAGGCAGCAGCCACACAAACAGGCAGCAGUGUUCCGUGGGGAGGUUUAUUCAGCACACCUUGAGACGUGGCUGGGAAUUGUGACUCAGAUUUGUUGUUGUCAAGCGAGGGAACCGGGGAACUCUGUCUUCAGGCAGGCUGUAAACAGUGCUAAGUAAAGCCAGGUCUGAGCAAGGCACAGGGCUUGUGAAGGACAGGUAACGAAGCCAGGGCUCUUAGUGCUAAUUGGAAUAAGGAUGAGGAUUCUCCUCUGGACACAGAUGGAAGCUGAUGGGCAAGCAGUCAGCGUCUCACAGCAAAUGGAGAGGAGCUUUAAGCAGGUGAGGUGCAUUCACACUACGUGGAGGUGGUGGGACAAAAUUCAAACAACCCACUGGAGAGUGCCAGAAUGCCAACAUCACCCCCUGAAAGAAUCCCUGGGGAUUACAGACAGGUUAACCAGGAAAGGUCUUCAGGAAAUUGCUGGCAAUCAGAUACUCCUGACCUGACCCUUCUCUCCCAGGAACCCAGGCACUGUGAAGAGUAAAAUAUUACCCUCCAUCCACCUUUCAAACUCCUGGGAAAGCAGCAGAGAGGGGGAACAUUUAUCCCAUCCUUGCUAAUGUUUUAAAAGCCUCCUGACACGUGGACCACUGAAACAUUUUUCAGUUAAUAAAAGGAGCUGAUUCACAGCACAAAGCCAUUAUUUCCAACCAUGAUAUCAAAUUGUGAUUUAUCAGUCUGAUAUUGUCAUUUCAGGACCCCUAGGAGGAAGGUCUCAGUAGCUGCAGUAAACCAGUAAAAUUCAGCGCAGAGGGGAAGAAAGAGGAAUUGGUAACAGCUGGGUUGUCCUUAACCUGAGUAGGUGUUUCUGUAUCCUAAAAUGACAGAAACAUCUUGCAUCAGUGUGGUGGCAUCAUGCUGAGUCACCCACUCACUCCUGUGGGCUAAGAGAAACACGGGCUGGCAACUUCUGGGGUUUGUGGUUUGGUUUCUUAUUUUCCCCUUAAAGAACAGCUGUGUCCAGUUGGCACCAGCACAUGAAGGGAACCACAGCCUCAUCCCACUCCACACCUCCUGUGGCAUUUCCAGGUCUGCUCCAGAUGGGGGAAUUUUGUUGAAGCACCAGCAGAGAAAACAAAAACUACACACACCUUGCUUUGGUAACUCACAGAAUCAAAACUAACCCUGUCCUGCUCCCAAGAAACAUUCCUGACCCUCCAUCCAUGAACAGCAGCAGGAUUUCCUCCACCUCUUCCUUCCUCUCUCAAGCAGGAGUUCACAGGCAUUUCAAGGACCUGAGAUGUCAUCUGUAGCUGCUGCCUCAGAAUUUAUUAAACUGCAGUGAGAGCUGGAGUUCUGUGCCUUUCUCAAACUCACAUUCACAGACCUAAAUAAGACUUCAAAUAAAUUCUUCCCUUGCUCAUGCCAUGACGGGAAAAGCUCUUCUAUCUACAAAUGUAUUCUUAUUUAUAAAUGUUGCACUACUUCUAAGGGGUGUAAUUGUCAUCAGCUGUAUUUCUGAGUGCUUUAAAAUACUCAAUAAUUCAAUUUUAAUUUCUUAAUUU